CCUGGCUCAGGAUGAACGCUAGCUACAGGCUUAACACAUGCAAGUCGAGGGGCAGCAUGGUCUUAGCUUGCUAAGGCCGAUGGCGACCGGCGCACGGGUGAGUAACACGUAUCCAACCUGCCGUCUACUCUUGGACAGCCUUCUGAAAGGAAGAUUAAUACAAGAUGGCAUCAUGAGUCCGCAUGUUCACAUGAUUAAAGGUAUUCCGGUAGACGAUGGGGAUGCGUUCCAUUAGAUAGUAGGCGGGGUAACGGCCCACCUAGUCUUCGAUGGAUAGGGGUUCUGAGAGGAAGGUCCCCCACAUUGGAACUGAGACACGGUCCAAACUCCUACGGGAGGCAGCAGUGAGGAAUAUUGAUCAAUGUGCGAGAGCCUGAACCAGCCAAGUAGCGUGAAGGAUGACUGCCCUAUGGGUUGUAAACUUCUUUUAUAAAGGAAUAAAGUCGGGUAUGGAUACCCGUUUGCAUGUACUUUAUGAAUAAGGAUCGGCUAACUCCGUGGCAGCAGCCGCGGUAAUACGGAGGAUCCGAGCGUUAUCCGGAUUUAUGGGUUUAAAGGAAGCGUAGAUGGAUGUUUAAGUCAGUUGUGAAAGUUUGCGGCUCAACCGUAAAAUGCAGUUGAUACUGGAUAUCUUGAGUGCAGUGAGGGCAGGCGGAAUUCGUGGUGUAGCGGUGAAAUGCUUAGAUAUCACGAAGAACUCCGAUUGCGAAGGCAGCCUGCUAAGCUGCAACUGACAUUGAGGCUCGAAAGUGUGGGUAUCAAACAGGAUUAGAUACCCUGGUAGUCCACACGGUAAACGAUGAAUACUCGCUGUUUGCGAUAUACAGCAAGCGGCCAAGCGAAAGCGUUAAGUAUUCCACCUGGGGAGUACGCCGGCAACGGUGAAACUCAAAGGAAUUGACGGGGGCCCGCACAAGCGGAGGAACAUGUGGUUUAAUUCGAUGAUACGCGAGGAACCUUACCCGGGCUUAAAUUGCAGAUGAAUUACGGUGAAAGCCGUAAGCCGCAAGGCAUCUGUGAAGGUGCUGCAUGGUUGUCGUCAGCUCGUGCCGUGAGGUGUCGGCUUAAGUGCCAUAACGAGCGCAACCCUUGUUGUCAGUUACUAACAGGUUCCGCUGAGGACUCUGACAAGACUGCCAUCGUAAGAUGUGAGGAAGGUGGGGAUGACGUCAAAUCAGCACGGCCCUUACGUCCGGGGCUACACACGUGUUACAAUGGGGGGUACAGAGGGCCGCUACCACGCGAGUGGAUGCCAAUCCCAAAAACCUCUCUCAGUUCGGACUGGAGUCUGCAACCCGACUCCACGAAGCUGGAUUCGCUAGUAAUCGCGCAUCAGCCACGGCGCGGUGAAUACGUUCCCGGGCCUUGCACACACCGCCC
This 1380-nucleotide ribosomal RNA is filed under the name uncultured bacterium. RNAcentral describes it as "bacterial SSU rRNA". It matches the Rfam family "Bacterial small subunit ribosomal RNA", at positions 18 to 1395 of the family's 1533-position model. The record is from RNAcentral.